GCGGGUAUAGUUUAGUGGUAAAACCCUAGCCUUCCAAGCUAACGAUGCGG
Molecule: transfer RNA, 50 nt
Filed under: Saponaria pamphylica
Lineage: Eukaryota; Viridiplantae; Streptophyta; Magnoliopsida; Caryophyllales; Caryophyllaceae
Description: partial tRNA-Gly
Rfam family: tRNA
About the family: Transfer RNA (tRNA) molecules are approximately 80 nucleotides in length. Their secondary structure includes four short double-helical elements and three loops (D, anti-codon, and T loops). Further hydrogen bonds mediate the characteristic L-shaped molecular structure. tRNAs have two regions of fundamental functional importance: the anti-codon, which is responsible for specific mRNA codon recognition, and the 3' end, to which the tRNAs corresponding amino acid is attached (by aminoacyl-tRNA synthetases). tRNAs cope with the degeneracy of the genetic code in two manners: having more than one tRNA (with a specific anti-codon) for a particular amino acid; and 'wobble' base-pairing, i.e. permitting non-standard base-pairing at the 3rd anti-codon position.
Source: RNAcentral